CGUGAGCGCGCGGCGCCCGAUGAUGCGGACGGAUGCCCAGCGCGUGCGUUACAGGAGAUCCCACAACUUGCUUUCUGAGCAAACUGACAAGCUUCUGAGAAAUAACACCAACUGGGUGAAAGCGGGGCCAGUGAGCGAUGGACAGGCUACGUCCCAGCGCGGGUCCACUGCUGGGCUACUGUUGCUGCCGUUAAUGCCCUCUGCCAGCCUCCCUCCAUCACUUUCAGCCACUGCAGCUACAGCUUAAUGAAUACAGAUGACUGUAAGCUUCCCAUGCUAGGAGGGGCUCUUAAAGUUUCACAGCACCAUUGGUUUGCUGUGUGGUGAGGCAACGGGUGCAAAUGUGCACCUUGACUUUUGGAGCAUGGAGUCUAUGUUCCCUGUAGUUUUACACCAGCUCCUGUGCCCAGAGUACCAGAGCACAGGUACGCAGGUCAGGGUGGCCUGAUCGUGGUGCAAAGCCAUAUGCACGCUGCAGAUGUUGUAUGGAACAGCUGUCAAGAACACCCCUAUCUUAGCAAGUGAUUAAGUGGGAGCAGCAUUUUGCUUCAUACUCAGAUUGCACCCCUGUCACUAGGCUUUAUAAUCAGAGAACUAUAUCUAAGCUCCACACUGCAAGUCAUCAGUGGAUUUUUAACACAAACGGAUAAAAGAUUGUUUUAUAGAAGAUGCUGCAGAUGUUUCAGUAACAGUAUAAUAUCACAGCUGAAGAGCAUAAGAAGACAUUUCAAUAUUUUUUGCAACUGGUAUUAUAAUGCUUAAUAUUUUAUACACACUGUAUGUCCUAAAAUGUUCUAUCAUAUUUGCUCAGUAAGUUUCCAGCACAUCUGGAGAAAGUAUAUAUGCCCAAGAUAAAGCUGGGCCAACUGUUCUUAAAUUCAUUCUGGAUCAGUUCUUGACAGUGAUGAUUUAUAUAUUCACUGUAUAUGUAAAUGUUCAUUCAGCACAGGGGAAAAUUAUUUCAGUCCUUGUGUUCCAAUUAGUACUUGAUUACUAGUGGAUUAAGUAUAACUGCAGCCAAAAAUGAGAGCUGUCCUUGGCUGAUUUGUGAGAAGAGUCACACUGAUUCAGUGCUAUUAAAAACAAUUCCACAAGAAUUCA
This is a long non-coding RNA of Scleropages formosus (Asian bonytongue), 1101 nucleotides long. RefSeq lists it as uncharacterized. Lineage: Eukaryota; Metazoa; Chordata; Actinopteri; Osteoglossiformes; Osteoglossidae. The record is from RefSeq and is a predicted model, not a curated record. The transcript is spliced from 2 exons.